ACUCAAAUGAAUAGACGGGGGCCCGCACAAGCGGAGGAACAUGUGGUUUAAUUCGAUGAUACGCGAGGAACCUUACCCGGGCUCGAACGGCGGAUGAAUACAGGUGAAAGUCUGUAGUCGCAAGACAUCUGUCGAGGUGCUGCAUGGUUGUCGUCAGCUCGUGCCGUGAGGUGUCGGCUUAAGUGCCAUAACGAGCGCAACCCUUAUUGUUAGUUACUAGCAGGUAAAGCUGAGAACUCUAACGAGACUGCCACCGUAAGGUGUGAGGAAGGUGGGGAUGACGUCAAAUCAGCACGGCCCUUACGUCCGGGGCGACACACGUGUUACAAUGGGAGGGACAAAAGGCAGCUACCCGGCGACGGGAUGCCAAUCUCUAAACCCUCUCCCAGUUCGGAUCGAAGUCUGCAACCCGACUUCGUGAAGCCGGAUUCGCUAGUAAUCGCGCAUCAGCCAUGGCGCGGUGAAUACGUUCCCGGGCCUUGUACACACCGCCCGU
Molecule: ribosomal RNA, 496 nt
Filed under: uncultured bacterium
Lineage: Bacteria
Description: bacterial SSU rRNA
Rfam family: Bacterial small subunit ribosomal RNA
Source: RNAcentral